ACUCCUACGGGAGGCAGCAGUGGGGAAUCUUGGACAAUGGGGGCAACCCUGAUCCAGCCAUGCCGCGUGAGUGAAGAAGGCCUUAGGGUCGUAAAGCUCUUUCGCCUGUGAAGAUAAUGACGGUAGCAGGUAAAGAAACCCCGGCUAACUCCGUGCCAGCAGCCGCGGUAAUACGGAGGGGGUUAGCGUUGUUCGGAAUUACUGGGCGUAAAGCGCGCGUAGGCGGACCAGAAAGUUGGGGGUGAAAUCCCGGGGCUCAACCCCGGAACUGCCUCCAAAACUCCUGGUCUUGAGUUCGAGAGAGGUGAGUGGAAUUCCGAGUGUAGAGGUGAAAUUCGUAGAUAUUCGGAGGAACACCAGUGGCGAAGGCGGCUCACUGGCUCGAUACUGACGCUGAGGUGCGAAAGUGUGGGAGCAAACAGGAUUAGAUACCCUGGUAGGUGACAA
Molecule: ribosomal RNA, 447 nt
Filed under: uncultured bacterium
Lineage: Bacteria
Description: bacterial SSU rRNA
Rfam family: Bacterial small subunit ribosomal RNA
Source: RNAcentral